GAUGAACGCUGGCGGCGUGCUUAACACAUGCAAGUCGAACGAUGAAGCCCAGCUUGCUGGGUGGAUUAGUGGCGAACGGGUGAGUAACACGUGAGUAACCUGCCCUUAACUCUGGGAUAAGCCUGGGAAACUGGGUCUAAUACCGGAUAGGAGCGUCCACCGCAUGGUGGGUGUUGGAAAGAUUUAUCGGAUUUGGAUGGACUCGCGGCCUAUCAGCUUGUUGGUGAGGUAAUGGCUCACCAAGGCGACGACGGGUAGCCGGCCUGAGAGGGUGACCGGCCACACUGGGACUGAGACACGGCCCAGACUCCUACGGGAGGCAGCAGUGGGGAAUAUUGCACAAUGGGCGCAAGCCUGAUGCGGCGACGCCGCGUGAGGGAUGACGGCCUUCGGGUUGUAAACCUCUUUCAGUAGGGAAGAAGCGAAAGUGACGGUACCUGCAGAAGAAGCACCGGCUAACUACGUG
RNAcentral lists this ribosomal RNA (466 nucleotides) under uncultured bacterium. RNAcentral's name for it is "partial 16S ribosomal RNA". It matches the Rfam family "Bacterial small subunit ribosomal RNA", at positions 28 to 507 of the family's 1533-position model. The record is from RNAcentral.